AGAGUUUGAUCCUGGCUCAGGACGAACGCUGGCGGCGUGCCUAAUACAUGCAAGUCGAACGAACUCUGGUAUUGAUUGGUGCUUGCAUCAUGAUUUACAUUUGAGUGAGUGGCGAACUGGUGAGUAACACGUGGGAAACCUGCCCAGAAGCGGGGGAUAACACCUGAACAGAUGCUAAUACCGCAUAACAACUUGGACCGCAUGGUCCGAGCUUGAAAGAUGGCUUCGGCUAUCACUUUUGGAUGGUCCCGCGGCGUAUUAGCUAGAUGGUGGGGUAACGGCUCACCAUGGCAAUGAUACGUAGCCGACCUGAGAGGGUAAUCGGCCACAUUGGGACUGAGACACGGCCCAAACUCCUACGGGAGGCAGCAGUAGGGAAUCUUCCACAAUGGACGAAAGUCUGAGAGCAACGCCGCGUGAGUGAAGAAGGGUUUCGGCUCGUAAAACUCUGUUGUUAAAGAAGAACAUAUCUGAGAGUAACUGUUCAGGUAUUGACGGUAUUUAACCAGAAAGCCACGGCUAACUACGUGCCAGCAGCCGCGGUAAUACGUAGGUGGCAAGCGUUGUCCGGAUUUAUUGGGCGUAAAGCGAGCGCAGGCGGUUUUUUAAGUCUGAUGUGAAAGCCUUCGGCUCAACCGAAGAAGUGCAUCGGAAACUGGGAAACUUGAGUGCAGAAGAGGACAGUGGAACUCCAUGUGUAGCGGUGAAAUGCGUAGAUAUAUGGAAGAACACCAGUGGCGAAGGCGGCUGUCUGGUCUGUAACUGACGCUGAGGCUCGAAAGUAUGGGUAGCAAACAGGAUUAGAUACCCUGGUAGUCCAUACCGUAAACGAUGAAUGCUAAGUGUUGGAGGGUUUCCGCCCUUCAGUGCUGCAGCUAACGCAUUAAGCAUUCCGCCUGGGGAGUACGGCCGCAAGGCUGAAACUCAAAGGAAUUGACGGGGGCCCGCACAAGCGGUGGAGCAUGUGGUUUAAUUCGAAGCUACGCGAAGAACCUUACCAGGUCUUGACAUACUAUGCAAAUCUAAGAGAUUAGACGUUCCCUUCGGGGACAUGGAUACAGGUGGUGCAUGGUUGUCGUCAGCUCGUGUCGUGAGAUGUUGGGUUAAGUCCCGCAACGAGCGCAACCCUUAUUAUCAGUUGCCAGCAUUAAGUUGGGCACUCUGGUGAGACUGCCGGUGACAAACCGGAGGAAGGUGGGGAUGACGUCAAAUCAUCAUGCCCCUUAUGACCUGGGCUACACACGUGCUACAAUGGAUGGUACAACGAGUUGCGAACUCGCGAGAGUAAGCUAAUCUCUUAAAGCCAUUCUCAGUUCGGAUUGUAGGCUGCAACUCGCCUACAUGAAGUCGGAAUCGCUAGUAAUCGCGGAUCAGCAUGCCGCGGUGAAUACGUUCCCGGGCCUUGUACACACCGCCCGUCACACCAUGAGAGUUUGUAACACCCAAAGUCGGUGGGGUAACCUUUUAGGAACCAGCCGCCUAAGGUGGGACAGAUGAUUAGGGUGAAGUCGUAACAAGGUAGCCGUAGGAGAACCUGCGGCUGGAUCACCUCCUU
RNAcentral lists this ribosomal RNA (1555 nucleotides) under Lactiplantibacillus plantarum. RNAcentral describes it as "Lactobacillus plantarum 16S ribosomal RNA". It matches the Rfam family "Bacterial small subunit ribosomal RNA". The record is from RNAcentral. Lineage: Bacteria; Bacillati; Bacillota; Bacilli; Lactobacillales; Lactobacillaceae.